RNAcentral lists this ribosomal RNA (424 nucleotides) under uncultured bacterium. Its description in RNAcentral is "bacterial SSU rRNA". It matches the Rfam family "Bacterial small subunit ribosomal RNA", at positions 917 to 1344 of the family's 1533-position model. The record is from RNAcentral.
GGGCCCGCACAAGCGGUGGAGUAUGUGGUUUAAUUCGAUGCAACGCGAAGAACCUUACCAGGGCUUAAAUGCAGUAUGACAGAUUUGGAAACAGAUUUUUCUUCGGACAUAUUGCAAGGUGCUGCAUGGUUGUCGUCAGCUCGUGCCGUGAGGUGUCAGGUUAAGUCCUAUAACGAGCGCAACCCCUAUUUCUAGUUGCCAGCACAUAAUGGUGGGGACUCUAGAGAGACUGCCGGUGCAAACCGUGAGGAAGGUGGGGAUGACGUCAAAUCAUCACGGCCCUUACGUCCUGGGCUACACACGUGCUACAAUGGUAGGGACAGAGAGCAGCCACUUCGCGAGAAGGAGCGAAUCUACAAACCCUAUCUCAGUUCGGAUCGCAGUCUGCAACUCGACUGCGUGAAGCUGGAAUCGCUAGUAAUCG